AUCUGUAGCCAUGCCACCCUGAACAAGCUUGAUCUUGAUCUCAUGUGAUCUUGGAAGUUAAGCAGAGUCAGGCCUGGUUAGUACUUGGAUGGGAGACCACCUAGGAAGAGCAGGUGCUAUAGGAG
This 125-nucleotide ribosomal RNA is filed under the name Pteropus alecto (black flying fox). The record is from RNAcentral. Lineage: Eukaryota; Metazoa; Chordata; Mammalia; Chiroptera; Pteropodidae.